Helianthus annuus (common sunflower) is the source of this 315-nucleotide long non-coding RNA. RefSeq lists it as uncharacterized. NCBI's taxonomy places the organism in Eukaryota, Viridiplantae, Streptophyta, Magnoliopsida, Asterales, Asteraceae. The transcript has 3 exons. The record is from RefSeq and is a predicted model, not a curated record.
CAGGAGCAAGGGGAAACCCUUCUCCUUCAACUACUUACAAGAACUCAAGAAUUGAACCUGAUUUUGGGGAGAAAUCGGAUGCAUGAGCUUAUAUUCUUAAUCAUCUAGACAAGAUGAACAUGUGAAUUGGAAUCACACGAGCAUGGGCCAAGCAUGGAAGGCUAACGGGUCAAGAUGAGGCAAGGAAGCGGUUACGAGCACGGAUGCACAAGGUGCUACACGGACUUCUUUUGCUGCUAAGGAAGUGAAGCGGACGUAGAUCGAGUCAAGAGCAAGGAUUGUACGGAUAGAUCGGUCACAUAGUUGAAGUAUAUA